Molecule: unclassified non-coding RNA, 299 nt
Filed under: uncultured fungus
Lineage: Eukaryota; Fungi
Description: sequence contains ITS1
Source: RNAcentral
UGGAGACAUGACGUGACAGUCCAUCACUUUUUCGCUCUUAGGAUUACGACCGCGAUCGCGCUUUUGUCCUGCCUCGGCGCGUCAAGGUCGCAUGUCGCGACGAUGGGCACGUUGGCACUGCCCCGGGUGGUCGUCGAGGGUCAGCCGCUCGGGGCCAACAUCGAGCGCGUCGUCCAGGCGCUCGACUAUCUCGGCGCGCCUCUCACGGCAGGGCUUCGCGACGACCUGGGUCGCGCGAGCCGGGCACGUGACGCGGCGAAGCUGCAGGAUCUGCUCGACACGCACACGCUGCUCGCCGU